RNAcentral lists this long non-coding RNA (1225 nucleotides) under Salvia miltiorrhiza (redroot sage). Its description in RNAcentral is "long non-coding RNA (SMIL_LNC006700)". Lineage: Eukaryota; Viridiplantae; Streptophyta; Magnoliopsida; Lamiales; Lamiaceae. The record is from RNAcentral.
UUAUAUAUAAUUAUUAGUGAACUAAUUAAUUGUGGAUUUGAUUUAUUUAUUUAACAAUCAGCUUUUAGCCAGAUUAGUUGAGCAACAAACACGUUGCUUGAAACUUUUGAGUCAGCUAUUACAGAGACCGACUCAAACCAGAACAAAUCUCACUCUAGUGAGAUGCGUAAAUUCAAUCUGCAGAAACUCAAACACACAAGCAAAAUACCUUUCCACACACAAAUCAUUCCCAGUCUUCCUUAGCAGUUCACAUCGAAGAAGGUAGUAUCCCUUUUCAUACAAUACAACUCAAUAUUUGUGUUAAAGCAACAACCAUGUAUAGUAAUGAACAAUAACUAUAAACAUAUCUCUAAUUCUAAUUUUACAAACGCAGUCUCAAUUCCUCAAUAAGCGGAAACAAACUUAUAACAUAUAACAAUCGGAUCUUGAGCAGUAGCCACUCCGACAGACACCCUGAAUCAUGGAUUCCUGAAAUAGAAAAAUUAGGGAUUGAUUAGUUUGAGGUAUUAGAACUGAAAUAGGUUAUUGAAAUAGAAAAUAAAGAAAAAGAGAAAAGAAGAAGGAAAAUAAUAAGAACAGGGGAAAGGAUGGCAGCAGCAGCAGCAACCGCGAGCCACCGCGACGGAGGCGCGACUGGCGGCAGCGACCGCCGGCACUGCCCACGCCACGGCGGUCCGCGGUGGCCGCCAGUAGCACAGAGAGUUUGAGCGAGAGAGAGUAAGACAAAAACAGAGAGACACGGACAUGAGAGAAAGUAGAGCGAGAUAGAGGCAGGGAGAGAAGAGCAGAGCGGCGGCGACCGCCGGCGCUGCAUGCGCCGCUGCAAGCAAAGGGGCAGAGAGAGAGAUCGAGAUUAAGAGCGCAGAGAAGGCAGAGAGAGAGAUCGAGGGACAGAGAGAAAAAGAGGGAGAAAGAGAAGCUUACCUGAGAUGGAGUAGGUGGCAGUGCGACGGGGACAACGGUGGCAGUGAAACUCGCCGGUUGACUGGAGUUGAAGGGGGGAAAAUUAGAAACCCUAGGUUGAUUUUGAAUUAAGAAUUGGGGGAAAGGGAAGGAAAGGAAGAAGAAGGGGAGAGAGACGCCGGCCUCGCCGCGCCGGAGGCGGCGAGGACUGGCGACGUCGCCGGGCGAGAGGGAGAGGGAAAGUGAGAGACGCAGGUGAGAGAACAGAGAGAAAUGGAGUCUGCGUAAAAAGAAAAAGAGGAAGAAGAGAGAUGUUGACUUU